GCCAGGCCUCAUAGCAUGUGCCUGUAGUCCCAGCUGCUCAGGAAGCUGAGAUAGGAGGAUUGCGCAAGCCCCCGAGCUCUGGCUGUAGUGUGCUGUGCCAAUUGGUGGAUGUCCACACUAAGUUCAGCAUCAAUACAGUGACCUCCUGGGAGUGGGGGACCACAAGUUUUCUAAGGAGGGGUGAGCCAGCCUGGGUGGAAAACAGAGCAGGUCAAAUUUCCCAUGCUGAUGAGUAAUAAAUCACGCCUAUGAAUAGCCACUGCACUCCAGCCUGGGCAACAUAGCAAGACCCUGUCUCCU
Molecule: unclassified non-coding RNA, 300 nt
Organism: Colobus angolensis palliatus
Lineage: Eukaryota; Metazoa; Chordata; Mammalia; Primates; Cercopithecidae
Rfam family: Metazoan signal recognition particle RNA
About the family: The signal recognition particle (SRP) is a universally conserved ribonucleoprotein. It is involved in the co-translational targeting of proteins to membranes.
Source: Ensembl